GUAAAUAGGGACCUGUAUGAACGGCCACAUGAGAAAGAAACUGUCUCUUGAAGAUAGCCAGUGAAACUGAUCUGCUUGUUCAAAAGCAAGCAUAAUUAAGCUAGACAAAAAGACCCUGCGAAACUUAAAGCCAAGCACUAAACAAACUAAUGCCUAACUUUUAGUUGGGGCAACUAUGAUAUACUAAACAUCUUAAAAAUCCUAAACCAACAAGUUAAAACUACUCUAACAGAGAUCCGGCACAGCCGACCAACGAACCAAGCUACUCCAGGGAUAACAGCGCCAAAUUCUUUGAGAGUCCACAUCAACAAGAAUUCUUACGACCUCGAUGUUGGAUCAGGGUAUCCAAACAGCGCAKAAKCUGUUAACGGCUCGUUUGUUCAACGACUAA
Molecule: ribosomal RNA, 391 nt
Filed under: Acanthocercus atricollis
Lineage: Eukaryota; Metazoa; Chordata; Lepidosauria; Squamata; Agamidae
Description: partial 16S ribosomal RNA
Rfam family: Bacterial large subunit ribosomal RNA
Source: RNAcentral